Molecule: ribosomal RNA, 776 nt
Filed under: uncultured Neocallimastigales
Lineage: Eukaryota; Fungi; Neocallimastigomycota; Neocallimastigomycetes; Neocallimastigales
Description: partial large subunit ribosomal RNA
Rfam family: Eukaryotic large subunit ribosomal RNA
Source: RNAcentral
GUAGUCUCGCACAGAUGCAUAUCAAUAAGCGGAGGAAAAGAAACUAACAAGGAUUCCCCUAGUAACGGCGAGUGAAGCGGGAAGAGCUCAAAUUUGAAAUCUUAAGGGGUUUCCCUUUACGAAUUGUAGUUUAAAGAAGUGUUUUCUGUUGAGGUUUUGGUAAAAGUUCUUUGGAAUAGGACAUCAUAGAGGGUGAGAAUCCCGUAUUUGACCUUUACUUUCAACUUUGUGAUACACUUUCAAGGAGUCGGAUUGUUUGGGAAUGCAGUCCAAAAUGGGUGGUAAAUUUCAUCUAAAGCUAAAUAUUGGCGAGAGACCGAUAGCGAACAAGUACCGUGAGGGAAAGAUGAAAAGAACUUUGAAAAGAGAGUUAAACAGUACGCUGAAAUUGUCAAAAGGGAAGCGUUUGACACCAGUGUUGUUUUUCUGAAAAUCAAUUAAAGAACUGUUUAUGCUAAGCUGUUUAGACUUUAUCAGCUAUACUGUUUAGUUUUGAGCUUUUCUUUAAUGCACUUUUCAGUUAACAAGUCAACAUCAAUUUCUUUUGCUGUAAAAAAGCUCGAGGAAGGUGGCUUGAGAUUCGUCUUAAGUGUUUAUAGCCUCUUGCCUAUGCAGUCGGAGAGAUUGAGGUCUGCAGCGUAGAUCCUUCGGGGCUAAAUGCAUUUGUGCUAAGUUAUAGCAUUUCAUAGACAACUUGUUGACUAUGAUUUGUCUUGUAGCUUACUCGCUUAUGUUAUUUUACCUACGCUUAGGAUGUUGAUAUCGCGCUCUCACUG